GCGUUCAUAAGGAGGCUGUCAGUGGCAAGAAAGGUCCGGAAGCACCGGGCAAGGAAAAGUGCUGUAUUAGUUGUGUCGCCGGCACCCCGAGCAACUAUCACAAAUGAGAACGCUGCUUCUGAACUACAGGCCCUAAGCUCUUCAAGUAUGAGUGCUGCAUCACUUGAUAUGCAAAGAAUGAGAAUCCUGCUGACGGUGACGCUCCCAGACCGCCGCAAUACACACAUGGACCCUCUCCCACAGUACUUUUUGGUGGAGGAAAUACUGUGCAUUGAGGUGGAACUUCGGUUUGGAUCGAAGAUAACAGAACUUGAGAACAAACUCGCUGCUGUGGCGCGAGUCUUCUCGGAAAAUGAAGAACAGGAAUGCACGCUGGUGGA
Molecule: long non-coding RNA, 380 nt
Organism: Dermacentor silvarum
Lineage: Eukaryota; Metazoa; Arthropoda; Arachnida; Ixodida; Ixodidae
Exons: 3
Source: RefSeq, a predicted model, not a curated record